UAACAUAUUUUAUUGGUAUAUGGUAAGCAAGUACAAACUGAACCCCUCGCAUAUCUUGUCUCAUGAACCCCUUUCACUCUAGGAGGAUCUGUCAUACGAGGAAGUAUCGGUUGACAUUGUGAACUGGAAGAGCAUAGUACUUUACAAUAGAGAAAUUUCCUUCAUCAAGAUCCUAUAGCAAAAUCACGCAAAGAAAGAGGCCAUUUAGGAGAUAGAAUCAGAUUUUCACGAAUGACCCAGAUGCAUUCCCUCUUUAGAUGUGAAUGAACGGAUGAGAUUAAUUACAAUGGAUAGUCUGAUUCGUCCAUGCCAUCGACUUAAACGAAAAAUCAACGACGAAUCAUACUCGCCCCAUGCUGACUCGAAUGAACGGCCUUGAUCG
This 382-nucleotide long non-coding RNA is filed under the name Carica papaya (papaya). Its description in RNAcentral is "long non-coding RNA (CPAP_LNC002800)". The record is from RNAcentral. Lineage: Eukaryota; Viridiplantae; Streptophyta; Magnoliopsida; Brassicales; Caricaceae.